CAAGAGCCUGUAUCGCUCACCUGACUCUACUUGGGUUUUUGAAAUCAUAUAAAAACAGAUUAAAUUUUGCUACAAAGUAACAACACUUGGCCAGCACCUCAUAAGGAAAGGACUAUUCAUGCUAUGUUUUAUUUCAUUCAAAUCCGUGGUUCUCUAGAAGAAGACAUUUGUAUGCAUUUCCCAUAUAGGGUUCUAUGUUAAACUAAGCCCCC
Molecule: long non-coding RNA, 212 nt
Filed under: Mytilus galloprovincialis (Mediterranean mussel)
Lineage: Eukaryota; Metazoa; Mollusca; Bivalvia; Mytilida; Mytilidae
Source: RNAcentral